Molecule: ribosomal RNA, 394 nt
Filed under: uncultured bacterium
Lineage: Bacteria
Description: bacterial SSU rRNA
Rfam family: Bacterial small subunit ribosomal RNA
Source: RNAcentral
GUGUCAGCAGCCGCGGUAAUACGUAGGGGGCAAGCGUUGUCCGGAAUUAUUGGGCGUAAAGCGCGCGCAGGCGGUUUUUUAAGUCUGGUGUUUAAACCUAGGGCUCAACCUUGGGUCGCAUCGGAAACUGGGAGACUGGAGUGUAGGAGAGGGAAGUGGAAUUCCACGUGUAGCGGUGAAAUGCGUAGAGAUGUGGAGGAACACCAGUGGCGAAGGCGACUUCCUGGCCUAUAACUGACGCUGAGGCGCGAAAGCGUGGGGAGCAAACAGGAUUAGAUACCCUGGUAGUCCACGCCGUAAACGAUGAGUGCUAGGUGUUAGGGGUUUCGAUACCCUUGGUGCCGAAGUAAACACAGUAAGCACUCCGCCUGGGGAGUACGCUCGCAAGAGUGAA